GUGCUUGCUUUGUCAGCACAUAUACUAACACUGGAAUGAUAUGGGAAAGCUUAGAAAGGCAUCUGUGCUAGAAUGACAUGCAAAUCCAUGAAGUAUUCCAUAUUUUA
Molecule: small nuclear RNA, 107 nt
Organism: Oryctolagus cuniculus (rabbit)
Lineage: Eukaryota; Metazoa; Chordata; Mammalia; Lagomorpha; Leporidae
Source: Ensembl